Molecule: unclassified non-coding RNA, 358 nt
Filed under: Hevea brasiliensis (rubber tree)
Lineage: Eukaryota; Viridiplantae; Streptophyta; Magnoliopsida; Malpighiales; Euphorbiaceae
Source: RNAcentral
GGGAGAACCUAUUAUGUUCUUUGAAGCCCAUUCUAGGGUAGUGGUAGAAUAUGUUUCAAUAAUCAAUACUGCUAUUUAAGAAAAGAGAGAGGUAUGGUGGGAGGAGACCACACUAAAACAAACCAAACAAAGGGUGAAACAAACUGAAUUUGGUUCAGUUCAGUUCAUCAGUUUUGGGCUUCAUAUGUAGUUGCGAUAAACGACGUGAAUAACCUUUGUGAAUUGCAGUUUCUUUUUCUUUUCUUGUACCAUUCUCACAGUUCACUUAUUUCAUGUAUUAUUAUGAAAAGCUGGUGCAUGAAAUUACAAGCUUCUCUCCGUUAUCCCAUGGCUAUACUUGGAAAAUGAAACUUUAAAG